CUCGUAGGCGGUUCAACAAGUCGGUCGUGAAAGCCCGGGGCUCAACCCCGGGACGCCGGUCGAAACUGUUGUGACUAGGGUCCGGUGGAGGUGAGUGGAAUUCUCGGUGUAGCGGUGGAAUGCGCAGAUAUCGAGAGGAACACCAGUAGCGAAGGCGGCUCACUGGGCCGGUACCGACGCUGAGGAGCGAAAGCAUGGGGAGCAAACA
Molecule: ribosomal RNA, 208 nt
Filed under: uncultured bacterium
Lineage: Bacteria
Description: partial 16S ribosomal RNA
Rfam family: Bacterial small subunit ribosomal RNA
Source: RNAcentral